RNAcentral lists this unclassified non-coding RNA (202 nucleotides) under Hevea brasiliensis (rubber tree). The record is from RNAcentral. Lineage: Eukaryota; Viridiplantae; Streptophyta; Magnoliopsida; Malpighiales; Euphorbiaceae.
GAAAGAUUUGGCAAUGCAAAUGUACAAUCCAGCACUACUUUGCUAGCUAAUAGUGAACAACAGCUGCCCUUUAUGGAUUCAACUUCAUCAACAGUUCAUCUUCACAAAGAGGAUUUUACAUUCCUCUGGGGGAGGAGAGGUGGAAGCCGUAUCAGAAAUAUCCCACAUAAAAGGUGGUGCCAAACUGUUCCAGUUGAACCAG